GGCAGGUGCGGUGGUGCAUGCCUGUAGUUCCAGCUACUUGGGAGGCUGAGGUGGGAGGAUCACUUGAGCCCAGGAGAUCUGGGCUAUAGUGUGCUAUGCUGAUUGAAUGUCCGCACUAAGUUCAGCAUCAAUAUGGUGAUCUCCUGGGAGUGGGGGACCACCAGGUUGCCUAAGGAGGGGUGAACCGGCCCAGGUCGGAAAUGGAGCAGGUCAAAACUCCCGUGCUGAUCAGUAGUGGGACUGUGCCUGUGAAUAGCCACUGCACGCCAGCCUGGGCAACAUAGCGAGAUCCUCUCUA
Molecule: unclassified non-coding RNA, 298 nt
Organism: Callithrix jacchus (white-tufted-ear marmoset)
Lineage: Eukaryota; Metazoa; Chordata; Mammalia; Primates; Cebidae
Rfam family: Metazoan signal recognition particle RNA
About the family: The signal recognition particle (SRP) is a universally conserved ribonucleoprotein. It is involved in the co-translational targeting of proteins to membranes.
Source: Ensembl